AGCUCCAGUAGCGUAUAUUAAAGUUGUUGCAGUUAAAAAGCUCGUAGUUGGAUUUCUGGUUGGUCGCACUGGCCCGGCUGUUUUUUUCAGUACGUGUGUCGGUUUCGCGGCUUACCAUCCUUCUAGCAGAUCGUUGCUACCCUUUCCGGGGUUGGCUUCGAAAUCUAGAUCAUUUACUUUGAAGAAAUUAGAGUGUUUAAAGCAGGCUUACGCUAUGAAUACAUUAGCAUGGAAUAAUAAUUUAGGGCUUCAGCCUAAUUUGUUGGUUUCUAGUGUUGAAGCAAUGAUUGAUAGGGAUAGUUGGGGGUGCUCGUAUUCAGUGGCCAGAGGUGAAAUUCUUGGAUUCACUGACGACGAACUUAUGCGAAAGCAUUCACCAAGGAUGUCUUCUUUAAUCAAG
Molecule: ribosomal RNA, 400 nt
Filed under: phytoplankton environmental sample
Lineage: Eukaryota
Description: partial small subunit ribosomal RNA
Rfam family: Eukaryotic small subunit ribosomal RNA
Source: RNAcentral